This 324-nucleotide long non-coding RNA is filed under the name Elaeis guineensis (African oil palm). Its description in RNAcentral is "long non-coding RNA (EGUI_LNC035934)". Lineage: Eukaryota; Viridiplantae; Streptophyta; Magnoliopsida; Arecales; Arecaceae. The record is from RNAcentral.
AUGCUAUGGAUGACUAAUGGUAGAUUCUUGCAAUGGCAAGCAAAUCUUUCUUUCACGCAAAAAAAUAUCAUCCUAACUCAUGAUUUUUGGAGAAGUAAGAUACCACCAUCCAUGUGACACGGGAUUGGAAGCCACCACCAGGCGAAAGGAGGAAGAGAUCUCACAAAGUAGGACAACUUCCUCUUGUGGAUUAGGCUGUCUAUAUAGGCACCCUUCAGAAACCAGCGCCCCACAGGAAAAAAAUUGUUUAAGGUAAGGAGAGUUAGCUAUUAUAUAUACAACGUUUGUUGAAGUUGGACUUUAAACUUGUGUCAUUUUGGAUGA